This 75-nucleotide transfer RNA is filed under the name Candidatus Nomurabacteria bacterium. Its description in RNAcentral is "tRNA-Gly". It matches the Rfam family "tRNA". Rfam says of the family: Transfer RNA (tRNA) molecules are approximately 80 nucleotides in length. Their secondary structure includes four short double-helical elements and three loops (D, anti-codon, and T loops). Lineage: Bacteria; Candidatus Nomuraibacteriota. The record is from RNAcentral.
GCGGGUAUAGUACAGCGGUUAGUAUACAAGUUUUCCAAACUUGGGAUGAGUGUUCGAUUCACUCUACCCGCACCA